CCUACGGGUGGCAGCAGUGAGGAAUAUUGGUCAAUGGGCGUAAGCCUGAACCAGCCAAGUCGCGUGAGGGAUGAAGGUUCUAUGGAUCGUAAACCUCUUUUAUAAGGGAAUAAAGUGUGGGACGUGUCCUGUUUUGUAUGUACCUUAUGAAUAAGGAUCGGCUAACUCCGUGCCAGCAGCCGCGGUAAUACGGAGGAUCCGAGCGUUAUCCGGAUUUAUUGGGUUUAAAGGGUGCGUAGGCGGCCUUUUAAGUCAGCGGUGAAAGUCUGUGGCUCAACCAUAGAAUUGCCUUUGAGACUGGGAGUCUUGAGGACAUUUGAGGCAGGCGGAAUGCGUGGUGUAGCGGUGAAAUGCUUAGAUAUCACGAAGAACCCCGAUUGCGAAGGCAGCCUGCCAAGCCGUGACUGACACUGAUGCACGAAAGCGUGGGGAUCAAACAGGAUUAGAUACCCCUGUAGUC
Molecule: ribosomal RNA, 460 nt
Filed under: uncultured bacterium
Lineage: Bacteria
Description: partial 16S ribosomal RNA
Rfam family: Bacterial small subunit ribosomal RNA
Source: RNAcentral